RNAcentral lists this ribosomal RNA (551 nucleotides) under Thamnaconus modestoides (modest filefish). RNAcentral describes it as "partial 16S ribosomal RNA". It matches the Rfam family "Bacterial large subunit ribosomal RNA", at positions 600 to 1348 of the family's 2925-position model. The record is from RNAcentral. Lineage: Eukaryota; Metazoa; Chordata; Actinopteri; Tetraodontiformes; Monacanthidae.
CGUACCUUUUGCAUCAUGAUUUAGCCAGAAUCCUUUAAGCAAAGAGAACUUUAGUUUUAAACCCCGAAACUGAGUGAGCUACUCCAAGACAGCCUAAAAAUAGGGCGAACCCGUCUCUGUGGCAAAAGAGUGGGACGAGCUUCGAGUAGAGGUGACAGACCUAUCGAACUCAGUUAUAGCUGGUUGCCUGUGAAUUGGAUAGAAGUUCAGCCUCUCGGCUUCUCCCUUCACCCCAACAUGGUUUUUAACCAUACCCAAUGAUACAAGAGAAACCGCGGGAGUUAGUCAAAGGAGGAACAGCUCCUUUGAACAAAGACACAACUUUACCAGGAGGGUAAAGAUCAUAAUCUUCAAGGCAAAAUGUUUUAGUGGGCCUAAAAGCAGCCAUCCUAAUAGAAAGCGUUAAAGCUCAAACAUAUCUCACCCCCUCAUAUCCUGAUAACUCAAUCUAAACCCCCUAAUUCUACCAGGCCGCCCCAUGCAAUACAUGGGGGCGACUAUGCUAAUAUGAGUAAUAAGAGGGCCUAAAAAGCUCUCUCCCUGCACACGCG